CCUACGGGAGGCAGCAGUGAGGAAUAUUGGUCAAUGGGCGUAAGCCUGAACCAGCCAAGUCGCGUGAGGGAUGAAGGUUCUAUGGAUCGUAAACCUCUUUUAUAAGGGAAUAAAGUGUGGGACGUGUCCUAUUUUGUAUGUACCUUAUGAAUAAGGAUCGGCUAACUCCGUGCCAGCAGCCGCGGUAAUACGGAGGAUCCGAGCGUUAUCCGGAUUUAUUGGGUUUAAAGGGUGCGUAGGCGGCCUUUUAAGUCAGCGGUGAAAGUCUGUGGCUCAACCAUAGAAUUGCCGUUGAAACUGGGGGGCUUGAGUAUGUUUGAGGCAGGUGGAAUGCGUGGUGUAGCGGUGAAAUGCGUAGAGAUCACGCAGAACACCGAUGGCGAAGGCAGCCUGCCAGGCGAUGACUGACGCUGAUGCACGAAAGCGUGGGGAUCAAACAGGAUUAGAUACCCUGGUAGUC
RNAcentral lists this ribosomal RNA (460 nucleotides) under uncultured bacterium. RNAcentral describes it as "partial 16S ribosomal RNA". It matches the Rfam family "Bacterial small subunit ribosomal RNA", at positions 338 to 795 of the family's 1533-position model. The record is from RNAcentral.